AAAUGAAUAGACGGGGGCCCGCACAAGAGGUGGAUUAUGUGGUUUAAUUCGAAGCAACGCGCAGAACCUUACCUAGGCUUGACAUCCCAUGACAAACGUAGAAAUACGUCUUUGUAGCAAUACACAUGGAGACAGGUGCUGCAUGGCUGUCGUCAGCUCGUGUUGUGAAAUGUUGGGUUAAGUCCCGCAACGAGCGCAACCCCUGGAUUUAGUUGCCAGCAUUAAGUUGGGCACUCUAAAUUAACUGCCAGCGUUAAGCUGGAGGAAGGUGGGGAUGACGUCAAGUCCUCAUGGCCCUUACGCCUAGGGCUACACACGUAAUACAAUGGAUAGGACAAAGGGUCGCGAACUCGCAAGAGGGAGCUAAUCUCAAAAACCUAUCCUCAGUUCGGAUUGGGGGCUGCAAUUCGCCCCCAUGAAGGCGGAAUCUCUAGUAAUCGUGGAUCAGAACGCCACGGUGAAUACGUUCCCGGGCCUUGCACACACCGCCCGU
This 493-nucleotide ribosomal RNA is filed under the name uncultured bacterium. Its description in RNAcentral is "bacterial SSU rRNA". It matches the Rfam family "Bacterial small subunit ribosomal RNA", at positions 903 to 1397 of the family's 1533-position model. The record is from RNAcentral.